This 468-nucleotide ribosomal RNA is filed under the name uncultured bacterium. Its description in RNAcentral is "partial 16S ribosomal RNA". It matches the Rfam family "Bacterial small subunit ribosomal RNA", at positions 28 to 507 of the family's 1533-position model. The record is from RNAcentral.
GACGAACGCUGGCGGCGGGCUUAACACAUGCAAGUCGAACGGAAAGGCCCUGCGUUUGUGGGGUGCUCGAGUGGCGAACGGGUGAGUAAGACGUGAGUAACCGGCCCUUGACUUUGGGAUAACUUCAGGAAACUGGGGCUAAUACCGGAUAGGAGCUCCUGCUGCAGGGUGGGGGUGGGAAAGUUUGGGCGGUUGGGGAUGGACUCGCGGCUGAUCAGCUUGUUGGUGGGGUAGUGGCUUGCCAAGGCUUUGACGGGUAGCCGGCCUGGGAGGGUGACCGGCCACCUUGGGACUGCGAUACGGCCCAGACUCCUACGGGAGGCAGCAGUGGGGAAUCUUGCACAAUGGGCGGACGCCUGAUGCAGCAACGCCGCGUGCGGGAUGCCGGCCUUCGGGUUGUAAACCGCUUUCGCCUGUGACGAAGCGUGAGUGACGGUAAUGGGUAAAGAAGCACCGGCUAACUACGUG